AUGACGUCAAGUCAUCAUGGCCCUUACGGCCAGGGCUACACACGUGCUACAAUGGUCGGUACAAAGGGCUGCCAAGCCGCGAGGUGGAGCUAAUACCCAUAAAACCGAUCGUAGUCCGGAUCGCAGUCUGCAACUCGACUGCGUGAAGUCGGAAUCGCUAGUAAUCGUGAAUCAGAAUGUCACGGUGAAUACGUUCCCGGGCCUU
RNAcentral lists this ribosomal RNA (205 nucleotides) under uncultured Pseudomonas sp. Its description in RNAcentral is "partial 16S ribosomal RNA". It matches the Rfam family "Bacterial small subunit ribosomal RNA", at positions 1179 to 1382 of the family's 1533-position model. Lineage: Bacteria; Pseudomonadati; Pseudomonadota; Gammaproteobacteria; Pseudomonadales; Pseudomonadaceae. The record is from RNAcentral.